This 253-nucleotide ribosomal RNA is filed under the name uncultured bacterium. RNAcentral describes it as "partial 16S ribosomal RNA". It matches the Rfam family "Bacterial small subunit ribosomal RNA", at positions 524 to 776 of the family's 1533-position model. The record is from RNAcentral.
UACAGAGGUCUCAAGCGUUGUUCGGAUUCAUUGGGCGUAAAGGGAGUGCAGGUGGCGCGCUAAGUCGGGUGUGAAAUUUCGGAGCUUAACUCCGAAACUGCAUUCGAUACUGGCGUGCUUGAGGACUGGAGAGGAGACUGGAAUUCAUGGUGUAGCAGUGAAAUGCGUAGAGAUCAUGAGGAAGACCAGUGGCGAAGGCGGGUCUCUGGACAGUUCCUGACACUGAGACACGAAGGCCAGGGGAGCAAACGGG